This 13497-nucleotide long non-coding RNA is filed under the name Brassica napus (rape). RNAcentral's name for it is "long non-coding RNA (BNAP_LNC007338)". Lineage: Eukaryota; Viridiplantae; Streptophyta; Magnoliopsida; Brassicales; Brassicaceae. The record is from RNAcentral.
UGAGGAAUGCUCAUUGCUGAAUAAUUGUUAACAGCAGGAAACCAAGAUGAGAAGCCAGGCCUUAUUCCACUGAUCAUUGGCUGUGCACUUCGGGAAUUUUGACUAAAACCCAGAGAUGACUCAACAACGUUAACAUCAUCAACAGCAGGUCCAUCGUUUAAAUCAAAAUCCCUACUACCACCAGAAGAUAAGUUUGCCUGUUGAAAAGUUGAAUUCACUCGAUGAACACUGCUUAUUGUAUGAUUAUUCAUAUCAGCUGGAUCAUCAAGUCUGUUUAGAUCAAGAUCCAGAAAUAUUGUUAUAAUGUUUUUCAACACAUUUGUUAAGAAAAUUAAAUAUAUAUAUAUAUUUAAAUUAAAAGAUAUCAAAUUAUAUUAUGAUUUAAGUAGUUAAAAGAUUAUAUAUUAGCAUUAAGGAAAUAUAUUUAAUACAAAUUUUAAAUAAUGAUCCGAAUAAAAAUAUCAUACAUGAAUCAAGGUGAGGUUGUUAACCCAUCCGGAUUUUUAGGAGUGGAUGUUAUAUUAGGAAUGAUAUAUUAUAAAUCUAUAUUAUUAGUAAUAAAUGAAUUAACUAAUUUCUAGUGAGGGUCCAUUUUUAAAAAAAUCAUACAUGAAUCAAAGUUGUGACUUGUGUUUUAAUAUAUAAGAUGUUUAUUUUCGUUAUAAAAAACAUUUAAAACCUUGGCUCCCAUUGUCCCUUUGUAACUUUGAGGCUUUUCUUUUUUAGAGGAUUUCAUGUUAAUUACGUCAUUGGUCUUCUGCGUAUGGCCUUUUUCUUUUGUAUAAUGAAUCAUAUGAUAUAUAGAACUGCAUGAUUAAACAAAACUUGUAAAACUGUGUUUUGAAUAUGAGAAGGUAUUUGUAUAUUACAUUUUAUAGUUUAAUUAUAACUAGUUUCAUUUCGCAGUUUUCGUUUCAUUAAGUAUGUUUAUUUGACAUAUUAAAUCCAUGCUUUGUCAUUUUAUUGUAUUAUUAGUCAGCUAUUUCUUAUAUAUUUUUUGGAAGUGUUGGUGGGAAUGACUUGUAAAAUACUGAAAUAAAAUACAUUUUUCAACUAGCUAGAGAGUAACAAGCCCCGUGGUCCUCCUUGUGAACAACACCUCUCUAAUUAACAGACUUUUGCAUUUUCAUAUUCAUGGUGGUUGCGUCGAUAUAUAGAGUCGUAGGUAUUACUCCAACAAUUAACUUAUCUUUAUAUAUUUAUAUAACUUUUGUUAAUCAUUGAGCUAAGGCUUUUGGUAGAUGUCCUCACAAGGUUUUGAUCCCCAACAUCCAUCUAUAAAUCAUUAUAUAUAUAUAAACACAUGUAAUAUCGAUUAAUUAACAACACUUUUAUUUUCUAAAGCAGAACUGUACAAUCUGUAUCUAUUAACAAACAAAAAUGAAUUAUUUGGUAAGAAUGUUCGAUAUAUAAAAGUUGCUAUGAUUCUUUUGUGAAUCUUGAAUUUUUGUUGCUGGUUGUUGCCAACGAACUCUUGUUGGUCGAGUUUACAUUAUAUUAUGGAGUAAAUUCCAUGAUAAAGUUUUUGAAAAUAUACAGGUCCACAUAAAAGGCCAGGCCAUUUUCUACAAGUAUAAAUAAAAUAACAAAUAUUAUAUAAACAGUUGCAUACCAUACUAUUUUUCUAUUUUAAUUAUAAACAUUAAUUUAUAAUAAUAGUCAAGUAGCAUGAUAAACAUAUUUUUAUAACACAAAAAAAAAAAUUGAUAAAUCUUUCUUAUAAUGUAUUUGUUGAAAUGCUGGUUUCAGUGAUUUUCUAUGGAGAUGUUUUGUUUAAUGAUAUAACAUCCUAAAAUUCUAUAUAAAACUCAUAAUAUGCUAGAACAUCCACAUUAGGAGUAUUUUAGAGUAUCCAAUGAGAACAAAAGAAAAAUAUUGAAAAAGAAGGAAAAUGGUGUGGAAAUGCUAUAAAAGUUUUUUAAAUUAGAUAUGUAAUAUUUUUCUUUUUGAGAAGCCCAUCUUCACAUGUCAUAUUGGUUUAAUUUUUUUUUUAAAUAAAUAGAUAAUCAAAUUUUAAGUAAAAACCAAUGUUGUAUUUGGUUUGAUACUUAUAAGAGUAUCUCACCAUUGAAGAAGUUUUUUAUGCUCUAUAGUCAUAGUAUUUCACAUGGCAUAUCCGAGAGAAACACAAAAAUAACAAAAACAUGCAUUCAACAGUACACAUAUGAAUGAUAUCAUCAGCCAUCUUGACUUGUCACUAUUGCUCAACGUGACUAUUAUUAAAGAAAGACUGCAUAGUAAAUGGUUAUUACCGUGGCGUAAUAAUAUGUAUUGUAACAACUGGUGUUGUGUCAUUAACUCAAGAAGCAAAAGAUGGAUGCUCAUCAUGUGAGUUCACCACCGCUCCUUCAAAACAAAGCCACCAAACACCCAUCUAAACACACUAUAUUUAAUUAUCUCACUCCUCUCAUAUUAAAGUAAUCAUCACCUCACUUUUAUCUCUCUCUCUCUGUUUUAUUCUUCUUCUUGUGAAUGGUGUUGUAGAGAAGAAGAAUGGCUUCAAGUGCUUCAAAGUUCAUCAAAUGUGUAACUGUUGGUGAUGGUGCCGUUGGUAAAACCUGUAUGCUCAUCUGCUACACCAGCAACAAGUUCCCUACUGUGAGUAGUUCGUUAACUACACCUCUCUCUCUCUGAAAUUUUGAUCAAGAAUCUCAUCUGGGUUUCUCAGAUUCACUUGAAAGUUCCAAUCUUUUACUGAAAAUCUUUCUGGGUUUGUCAAAUUUUAGCUUCCCUAUUGCUUAAAGGUUCUUAGAAUUCAUCGGUGUAAUUCAAAGUUAGCUCCUUUUUAUAGGGAUUAUGCAUGAACUAAGAUCCAGCUUUGUGUUUCUCCUAACAACAUCUGGAUUCUUCAGAAUGUUCUUGAAAGUUUCAAUCUUUUACUGAAAAUCUUUCUGGGUUUGUCAAAUUUUAGCUUCCACAUUGCUUAAAGGUUCUUAGAAUUCAUCUGUGUGAUUCAAAGUUAGCUCCUUUACUAGGGGGAUUAUGCAUGAACUAUGAUCCAGAUAUUUGUGUUCUCUUUCUCCUAACAAUCUUUCUUUAGAGUUGAUUUAUGCAAAACUGUGAAUUGGUUGUAAACAGGACUAUGUACCAACGGUUUUUGACAACUUUAGUGCAAACGUUGUAGUUGAAGGAACUACUGUGAACUUAGGGCUAUGGGAUACUGCUGGUAACCAACAUUUCUUUUCUUUUGAUUGAUUUGAGAUAUUGUUGCAUAGACCAAGAUCCUGUUUGGGUUGUGUUUUGUUUUGCAGGGCAAGAAGACUAUAACAGAUUAAGGCCUUUAAGUUACAGAGGAGCAGAUGUUUUCGUCUUGUCUUUCUCAUUGGUCAGCCGAGCUAGCUAUGAAAAUGUUUUUAAAAAGGUUUUGAUUCAUGCAUCUCUCUUUGAACUCAAUAAGACUUGUAACAAUGUCAAGUCAUUUCUAAUGUUAUGUAUGACUUCUUCUUGUUGAGUCUCAGUGGAUCCCUGAACUCCAACACUUUGCUCCAGGAGUUCCAUUAGUUCUUGUCGGUACCAAAUUGGGUAAGAAACUGAUGAGCAUUUGCCUCUGCAUUGUUUCAGAUAUGUUGCAUGUAUUAUUGAUUCUUAGUUACUACAUCAAAAUGUAGAUCUCCGUGAGGAUAAGCAUUAUCUGACAUUGCUUAAAGGUUCUUAGAAUUCAUCUGUGUGAUUCAAAGUUAGCUCCUUUACUAGGGGGAUUAUGCAUGAACUAUGAUCCAGAUAUUUGUGUUCUCUUUCUCCUAACAAUCUUUCUUUAGAGUUGAUUUAUGCAAAACUGUGAAUUGGUUGUAAACAGGACUAUGUACCAACGGUUUUUGACAACUUUAGUGCAAACGUUGUAGUUGAAGGAACUACUGUGAACUUAGGGCUAUGGGAUACUGCUGGUAACCAACAUUUCUUUUCUUUUGAUUGAUUUGAGAUAUUGUUGCAUAGACCAAGAUCCUGUUUGGGUUGUGUUUUGUUUUGCAGGGCAAGAAGACUAUAACAGAUUAAGGCCUUUAAGUUACAGAGGAGCAGAUGUUUUCGUCUUGUCUUUCUCAUUGGUCAGCCGAGCUAGCUAUGAAAAUGUUUUUAAAAAGGUUUUGAUUCAUGCAUCUCUCUUUGAACUCAAUAAGACUUGUAACAAUGUCAAGUCAUUUCUAAUGUUAUGUAUGACUUCUUCUCGUUGAGUCUCAGUGGAUCCCUGAACUCCAACACUUUGCUCCAGGAGUUCCAUUAGUUCUUGUCGGUACCAAAUUAGGUAAGAAACUGAUGAGCAUUUGCCUCUGCAUUGUUUCAGAUAUGUUGCAUGUAUUAUUGAUUCUUAGUUACUACAUCAAAAUGUAGAUCUCCGUGAGGAUAAGCAUUAUCUGGCUGACCAUCCUGGACUAUCCCCUGUAACUACUGCACAGGUUUGAUCUCAGUAGAUUUCAGUAGCUUUGUGUGUGUAUGAGUUAAACGUUUUGGUAUGACAGGGAGAGGAAUUGCGUAAGCUAAUUGGUGCAACAUAUUACAUUGAAUGUAGCUCAAAAACUCAACAGGUAUAUAACAGAUUCAUUUACAUUGACUCGAGCUGCAUAGUCUUAGACAACUCUUGAGCGUUGAGAGUUUACAUUUUGCAGAAUGUCAAAGCAGUUUUUGAUUCGGCAAUCAAGGAAGUGAUCAAACCGGUGGUUAAACAGAAGGACAAGACCAAGAAAAAGAAGAAGCAACAGUCGAAUCACCACGGGUGUUUAUCGUGAGUGUAUACACAACAAACCUUCAUAGAUUUCUGCUUCUAGAUUCCUUUGAAAAAGAAACUGACUUCACCUCUUUGUUUUUGGACAGAAACGUUUUGUGUGGGAGGAUAGUGACUCGGCAUUGAUGAUAACCCAAACUCUGUCUGAUGUUUUGUAUUCCACUUUUGAGUUUGUAUGAUAAAUGAGAGACAUUAUAUAUAUAUAUAUAUAUAGAUUGAAUCAUAGUCAAUCAAUAGUUUACAUGGAAGAGAGAGAUAGAGAGCUUUUACUAUUAUUGUCAAACUCAAUUAUGUUUUAUUUGUUUCAAACCUGUCACUGCAAUAUAUAUCAUCAGCCAUUUUGUUGCAACAGAGAGUAAAAGUGUUCACUUGUUCGACACAUAACUACCACAAGUAGAACAAUCUAGAAAAGAGUUCUGACUAUAUAAUACAAACCAUGGCAAAUUUAAAUCUCUCAGUCUCAUAUACCAACAAUGCUUCAAGGACCAUCACCAUCAUUUUUCUUUCUUACAGCAGAACUUUAUAAAAAAACAUAAACUAAACACUCUCGUCUUGCCUUUUGGUCCAGAUACAUAGAUGUUAGACAAGGCAAAGAGUAGUGUGUUGUUUUUAAAAAGAUCACCUGGUAAAACUCUGGGAGAUGAGAGCAAAUAAACAAAGCGAUGAUGAUGACGGUCUUGGUUUAUCUAUCUGAGAGUUUUAUAAGCCAUGCCUGUGAAAAACAGAAACUGUUUGGAGGUGUAUCUACACGAAUGAUUGUAAAACAGAGGGGUCAGAUUUUCUUUUUUUUCCUAAGAAACUGUCCUUUGUGGCGUGCUGUCUGCUUUUAUCUUCAGAGUACCUAGAGCGAACAAGAGGAAUACGAAACAACGUCAGAGAACGAGAGAGAAACAAACAUGAGACAACAUAAGGUGAAAGAAGAGAGUAAAAAUAUGCUUACAGCCUUAGUGCAACGGCCUACAAAGAAAUUCACAGGUUUGUUAUUUGCCAUAACGAUUACUUAUAUCCUCCUCCAUCCCACCCACCGUCUGGUUCCUUCCUCUUGAGAGUACCACCUGACAUUUGAUACAUUCUUGCUUCGUCUCUCAAAGGUAAAGAGCCAGAGGAAGAUAGUUGUCUUUGUACGAGUGCUGCUUCAUCAGUUUCAUGCCCUCCUGGUCCAGAGUUCAAGUCAAGACCAGAUCUAAACCAUUUUGCAUUGUUGCUGCUGUCCGAAACUCCACCAUUGCUACUACCGUUUGGGAGAUUAACAACAUACGGCCUUGGGUAAUUAGAAGGGAUGGCAACUCCUGGACCCAAUAUUUGAGAGUUGACAGGAGGGAAGCAUAGCCUGCCACUUGAUGAAGAGUCCAUGUAUGGUGUUGAAGCACCUGAAAAAUUUGCUGAGGAAAGAGGAAAGCUGGAACCAAAAGGGAACCCAGGAUACUGAAAUGCUGAUGGUGGGAAUGAAACUGCUGGAGAAGACAGUAAAACAGGGCCUCUGUACAUAUCAGGUGUAUAUGAUGAAACUUCAGAUGUUGGACCCACCAUUCUCUGCGGUCCACUGCCUCGUUCAGGCAAUACUUGAGGAAUACUCAUUGCUGAAUAAUUGUUAACAGCAGGAAACCAAGAUGAGAAGCCAGGCCUUAUUCCACUGAUCACUGGCUGUGCACUUCGGGAAUUUUGACUAAAACCCAGAGAUGACUCAACAACGUUAACAUCAUCAACAGCAGGUCCAUCGUUUAAAUCAAAAUCCCUACUACCACCAGAAGAUAAGUUUGUCUGUUGAAAAGUUGAAUUCACCCGAUGACCACUGCUUACUGUAUGAUUAUUCAUAUCGGCUGGAUCAUCAAGUCUGUUUAGAUCAAGAUCCAGUACACCAGAGGGAUUUGUGGGAUUGGCAAAUCUUUGGGAAGGCAGCUCUUCAAGAACUCUUUCAUCCGGUACAUUUAGGUCGAAGUCCAAGAGUGUCUUUGUUUGCUUGCCAGCGGUUGUAGAAGCAUCACAGGAAGCCACCUCUUGGACUUUUCUUGGCUCAGCUGGUCUGAAGGCGCUAGUGGCAGCAGAUCCUCUCCACCCAACAGCUGGUUUAUUUCUCAACAGAUCAUCACGCGGAACAAAAGCACCCUUUGCAGCAGCAGCAACUGUAAUGGAUGCAGGAGGUCGACUGGUUUGUAAAGGAGUAGAUGUCAAAGACAACGAUCCAGAGAAGUUACUUGAAUUCUCCUUUCGUGUGUCAUCCCCAUUGAAAGCUUCAUUUAGGUCAAAUUUAACUCCGGCUUCCAGCUCUGACCCUGCUAAAGCUGAAACUGAAGGGACAUCUUUGGCAACAGAGGUACAUUCCUCUGUUUCAUGCCCAUCAGCACAUGUUGUCGUGGCGCACUGUUUUCCGACUUCAGCACUCUUUAGAGACGCCUCCACAUGCUCAACUUCAAUCUUAGUUACAGAUGAGUCCAGAUGAGCUGUCACAGGUUUGUUCUUUUUAUCUGUUUGGUUCACAUGAUUAAUCCCUAUGUCGAUCUUUUCUGCAGCCACUCCCUUGGAGAACCCAGACGAAACUUUUACAUCUUCACCCGUUUCUUUAACCAACUCGGAACUCAAGACUACCGGGGGUUUCUGCUCUUUCUUGUUAUCAUCGACUACAUCAGAGUGCGAAUUUGCAACAGCCAAGGAAUCUACUUUGGGACAUAAUACGAUGGCUUUACAUUCAGCUGGCGCAGAAGUUUCCACUGAUGUACAAGCAGCCUUUCGAUCGUUAGCUGUUCCAUCACAAUCAUUAUCAUCAGACAAUUUCUCUGGCAUCGAUCUAUCAACAUUUUCAGUACUCCUAUCCUUGGCAAACUCUGACAAAACUGAAACCACUUCACCCAUUUUAUUAACUAGCUCAGAACUUAAUAUCACCUUUGGUUUAUCUUCCACCUGAGCACCACCAGCAGCCUCCAAGUGUGAAUCUUCAGCAGUCAAAGAAUCUGCAUUUUGACUUAUGCCAAUGGUUUUACAUAUACGUAGGGCAGAGUUUCCUGUCCUCAUCACUGUAUCUGCCACUCGAUCUGUCUCUGAUAUCUCAUCAGUCUUUAGGUCACUAACUACCCCACUAUCACCAUCAUCAGAAAUGUUUCCCCCAAUGCCUGAUGUGUGCCCAGCGGUUGGGGCAAUAUCAUCUGAAUUUUCAUUGCUUUCUAGGCACUGAUCCACCAAUCUUUGCAACUCUUCGAUUUCUGAAUCGGAGUUCUCAUCAAGAUCUCCCGGCUUAGAAUCAUUUUCAUUCUCUACAACGGCCAACUGCUCGCCACUACUACUGACAUGUUCAACAAUGGUGGGAUUCACAUUAUCCGCUUGCUCGCUAGGCAAGCCAUCCAAAGAAUCUGAAACCCGAGAUACCGAGGGUGAUGCAACAGGGGAUUUGGACAUUUCAUCAGCAGCAACAGUAGCUAGAAGAUUCAUUCCAACAUCAUCUGCACCAGCCACACAUGCAUUCGCCUCAGAGUCCCUGACACAACUUUCAAUCAAAGCAUUCAUUAAGCUGUGUGAUUCACCAUGCCCUUUUUCAGUUUUGACAUCAUCUCCUGAGGUAGGAGACGUGGGCUUGACAAUAUCUUCUAUUUUACUAGACUCAUUAACAGCCUUCUCGUGCCCAUCACCACGUUCACCACAUUUAGGCAGCUUAACCAUCAACUUAUUGCUACAACCUUCAGCUUUCUCAAAAGUUACAGUUCUUUGUGAUGAGAUGCUCCUGCUCAGCCCAACUUCUGCGUGGACUGCAACAGUAUUUUUUUGCUGCCCAACGUUAGCAACAGCAACACCUGUUCCAGGUGAUGGGGCUGAUCUAGUAGAACUUGGAGAGGUGGUUGCAGACUUCACGCUGUUAUCUGAAAUACCGGACACGGACUUAAAAGGAUGUAGAUGAGACACUGAUGUCUUGGUUGCAUCAAAGGAUACAACUGAGUGUCUACUGCCAUGGGAAACUUCAGACUGACGAGGUCUUCCAGGCUUGGCAUCCAUUUCUGCCUCAACACGUUUCUUCCAUGUAUCAACCAAGCUCCUUGCCUUUUUCCCAAUUUCUGAGUUCUUAUGUGAUCGCAAUCGAUUAACAGACUUCCCAAUGUUGCAAGUCUGAAGAGCAUUGAGAUUCACAGGCAGCUUGUCAAGAGCACGUAGUAAAAUCAAAAGAAACUCGUCCACUGAUCUAUCAUUUUCUUUGGGACUGCUCCCAUCCCCAAUUUUCCUUCUAUGAACCUCCUGUAGCCACUCAUCAAAAACAGAUAAACCCCUCAGCUGGACGAAACGACUGAGACAGUCAAACUUGUCUGUUGCUGCUACAGCACUUGCAAGAAUGGACCGCCCAAUCAAAUCUGUCUUCUUCUCAUUCUUCUCAGGUAGCAUGAGCUGUACCAAUUUCUCAACCCCUUCAGAAUCCACUAGCCUCCCUCUCUCAGUAAUUUUUGCAAUCUCAGACUUCAAACUGCUUUCUUUUCUUACAAAACCAGAACCACCAUCAUCACCUCGGCUCGGACGUUCCCUUUUCACAGAUUCAGAACCCUGAUCACCACGCUCUCUCUUCCUUCCCUUGCCCUGUGAAGAAGAGGAGCUACUGUUCUGCAUACCUUCUGUUCCUGUUUUCACUUGAGAUGUUGUUAACCUAGGAGAACAACCACACUGCUGUAAACUCUUACACAAUAACUUAUCUACUUCUUGUUGACGUUCCUGCAUUAAAAAAAAAAAAAAAAAAUUUGCCAAAAAAAAAAAUGUUACAUGGACCUGACAAAUGAAGGUUGUCAAGAGGAAAUAAGAAUACUAUUCCAGGCAAGCCAAAGAUCUCGUUAGGCUGAGCCUCCAAAAGGACGCCCUUCCCAAGCUUCAACUCACCGGGUCGAUACAGCCAAUUCACACGAACCUUAAAGCUACCUCCUUCUUCUCGUUCCGGAACCAGCAAACGGAUCAAACCAAUGAACGGUGGACAAUCCUGAGGCGGCUUAAACAGAGCACAGUCACCAACACUAAUCCUCCUCCCGUCCUGCAAUAACCAUCAUCAAAAUCAAAACUUUAAAUCAAAUCGGAACCAAUCAAAAGCCAAUUGAGACGAAUCAAGUUACCUUAGAGAAGGAAGAAGGUGAAGAAAGAGAGAGCGACGAAGAAGAAGAAGAAGCGGUUGAGAUUAGACGCGAAGGAGGUCUAAGCAUAAGCAGACGACGAUGACCUUUCUUCCUCCCAUGCAUAGCCGUCUCUCAUUUUUUCCCCUUUCGAAUCAAAACAAACACAAUUUCGUCUUCCUUGUCAGAAUUGGUUUUCGAUUAAAAAAAACCCUAAAAUUGAGAUUAAAAGAAGAAGAUGCGAUUCCUUAGGGAUUGAUUUUUGAAAUCGAGUACCUGAUCCAAUCAACCCGCGAAGAUCCAACAGCGAGAAGAAGAAGAAACCCCCGUAGAGUGCGAGACACGAAUCGAAAGCACGCCCUUGUUUGUUUUUUCGAUCCAGCGAAGAAGAAGAAGAAGAAGAAGAAGAAAAAAAAAUAAAAUCGAGAGAGAGAGAGAGAGAGAGACGAAGGCAAAAGGGGGGUACUACGAGUCGGGGCAGUUCGGGCAUGUGUUUCGGGCAGCGUUUUUAUUUAUUUUGUUUUUGGUUUUCUGGUGACAUUUGAGUGUGUUUUUCUUUUCUCCCCCCUUUUUAUAGCUCUUUUUGAUUUUUCUAAUUUUUUCCUAAAUUUAAAACAAAACGAACUUCGUGAUUUAAAAAAAAAAGUUAUUUGGGUUAAACACAAAAAAAAGUCUGAUCAUUUAUAAAAAUCAAACGAAAUUUAGGAUCAUUUUUAAUCAACAAACUCAAAAAUAAAUGUGAGUACUUUAUAAAAUAAAAUUAGAGAAAUGUUCUGCUCAUUUUGUUUCAUAUAAUGUAUUUUAAAAAAUGUUCUCGCGUAUUUAAAAUUGAAUUAGAAACUCUAUUUUAUCCGUUGACACACUUUUUUAUUUAUUUAAUACACUAAUACAAUAAGGUUAAAAAUGAACAUUUAUUUAAAUUUUGUAUUGAAAAUAAAAAACGACACACUUUUUGAAAUAAAAAUAAAACUCUAAACACACUUUUUAAGAAACUGGGAAGUAUUAUCUAAUAUUUAUAGAAGAAAAUAUCACAUUCAUCUAAAAAUAGAAAAAAAAAUAUAACAUAUUGGAGUAAAAUCUUCAUUUUCUGUAUCUUUAGAUAUGUGCACAUUUUCUUGCCAAGAAGAUAAGAAAUAUUGAAAUUUUCUUUUUUCCAUGUAGAUCAGAUCUGGUCUGAGAGAGCGUCUCUUUGGAACGUAUCAGCCAUGACUAAUACUUAUCUUAUAAAAUAAGUGUCGUAAAAAAAUGGAGUAAAAUUCCUAUGUAUUUGAAAAAUUCUAUUUUUAGUGGAAAAAAACUAGAAGAGAGAUUAUCUAUAUAGCAAGCAAACUAAAAUUAUAAGCAUGAAUAAGUUGUUUCCACAAGUUUACAAAACCGAUCAGUUUAUAUAAUAAUUUUGUGAUUUGAUCCAGUUUAUUCUGGCUGAUUACGGUUUGAAUGUGGUGACCUACCCUCCACAACAAGUUAUGUUUGGUUAUGAUUUUUAUGCGAGGAUCUUUUGGUUACAUUGUACAGUGUCAAAUCACUGUCAUCAAAGUACAAGUCAAUCAUUGUCUCUCUUUGACACAGACAUUAACUUUUUGUACAAUGAGACUCGGAAGCUAUUUGAGUAGCUUCCAGUGACAUUUGGCUUCUUCACUCACCGAUUGCUCCUAAACAUGUUCUUCACAAGGCACAGAAUAUGUAGAACAUCUCAAGAUUUUGAGACGGUAAUGUUAGCUACUUGAAGGUUCCAUAAUUGCAUAGGUGACAAGACCAGUCAAAACUGGCAAUUGGAGAUGGUGCAAAUGAUGUUGGAAUGCUUGGGAUCAGUGGAGUGGAAGCAAUGCAGGUUCUUUAAGGAAUCUCAGAACAACCAUUUGCACGGUUUUGUCUCAAGGUAUAAUGAAACAUUCAAAUCAAAAAGAGCUGCGUAGUUUGCUGUAUAGUGGAGUUUCUUAACCCAAAGUCUUGCUUUGUUUGCUGUAACUGUUCCCUAUAUUGUACCAGGAAGUGGUACAAAAUCUCCCCUUUGGUUGUUACAUGGCUUCUGCAGCACAGUAAUCAUUUUCUUCCUCUGCAAAACCUCUCUUGAAUCCCAAGCUUUCAACCACCAAGGGAAAACCGCAGGGGAGAGAGAGAUUUUUGGAGGAACUAUGUACACAUGUGGGUUGUGAGUUAGCAGAUGGUACAAUCAGUUACUACCUGUUAUUGCAAUAUAUGAGCCAUUUUGUUAUAACAGAGACUAAAAGUUCUGAAAUGUGGAUUCAACCAUAACUAACCACAAGUAAAAAAAUCUACAAAAGAGUUGCUGCUGACUAUAUAAUACACAAACCAUGUCAGAUUUUACCAGUCUCAUACCAACAAUGACCAUCAUUUUUUCUUUUACAGCAGAGCUCCAAAAAAAAAAGAGAAAAAAAAACAUAAACUAAACACUCGCUUGCAUCUCUAAAAGAGAUAAGGAACUAAGUUAGCGUCUGCUUUUAUCUUCAAGAGUACCUAAGAGCCAACAAAGAUGAAUUAGAAACACAGUCAGCGAGAGAUAAUAUAAAGAAAGAAACAGAAGAUGCUAGAGCUGAAAGAAGAGAGUAAAAAUAUGCUUACAUGCUUAGUGCAACGGCCUACAAAGAGAUUCUGAGGUUUGUUAUUGCCAAGAGGGUUGCUUGUAUCCAUCCCAUCCACCACUGUCUGGUUCCUUCCUCUUGAGAGUACCACCAAACAUUUGAUACAUUCUUGCUUCAUCUUUCAAGGGUAAAGAACCAGAGGAAGAUAGCUGUCUUUGUACAAGUGCUGCUUCAUCUCUGCCAUCAGUUUCAUGCCCUCCUGGUCCAGAGUUCAAGUCAAGACCAGAUCUCAACCAUUUUGCAUUGUUGCUGUCCGAAACUCCACCAUUGCUGUUUGGGAGAUUAACGACAUAAGGCCUUGGGUAGUUAGAAGGGAUGGCAACUCCUGGACCCAAUAUUUGAGAGUUGACAGGAGGGAAGCAUAGCCUGCCACUUGAUGAAGAGUCCAUGUAUGGUGUUGAAGCACCUGAAAAAUUUGCUGAGGAAAGAGGAAAGCUGGAACCAAAAGGAAACCCAGGAUACUGAAAUGCUGAUGGUGGGAAUGAAACUGCUGGAGAAGACAGUAAAACAGGGCCUCUGUACAUAUCAGGUGUAUAUGAUGAAACUUCAGAUGUUGGACCAACCAUUCUCUGCGGUCCAUUGCCACGUUCAGGCAAGACUUGAGGAAUGCUCAUUGCUGAAUAAUUGUUAACAGCAGGAAACCAAGAUGAGAAGCCAGGCCUUAUUCCACUGAUCAUUGGCUGUGCACUUCGGGAAUUUUGACUAAAACCCAGAGAUGACUCAACAACGUUAACAUCAUCAACAGCAGGUCCAUCGUUUAAAUCAAAAUCCCUACUACCACCAGAAGAUAAGUUUGUCUGUUGAAAAGUUGAAUUCACCCGAUGACCACUGCUUACUGUAUGAUUAUUCAUAUCGGCUGGAUCAUCAAGUCUGUUUAGAUCAAGAUCCAGUACACCAGAGGGAUUUGUAAAUCUUUGGGAAGACAGCUCUUCAAGAACUCUUUCAUCCGGUACAUUUAGGUCGAAGUCGAAGAAUGUCUUUGUUUGCUUGCCAGCAGUUGUCGAAGCAUCACAGGAAGCCACAUUAUUCAUGUUUAGUGGCACCUCUUGGACUUUUCUUGGCUCAGGUGGCCGGAAGGCACUAGUGGCAGCAGAUCCUCUCCAGCCAA